CAGAAGAAAGGAACAGACUCUCAUUAAAUAGCAGAGAGGAGCUGUGCAGUUUUUGAACAGAGCCUCAACAUUGCCAUGGAAAGUGAUACAUCACCUUAAACAACCUCAACUGAAAAACUACUUAACAGUGUCCAAGACUUGGACUUACCAGCUGAUAUGUAACAUUACAUUCUUAGGCCACUAGGCAGAGCUGUAAAGCUCUAGUUUUAAACCAUUUUAAUAUAUGUACUUUCACUAAAGUCUCAAAUUUAUUUAAAUACAGCUAUUUGUAUGUCUGAUCUUUGCUGCAUUUUCCCACCACAAAGUUGCUAUCUUUGUGCAAUUUCAAAAGAGCUGUGUAUGUGCGAGUUCGUGUACAUGCCUACAGUGACAGCAACAAACCUUUCCACUACACAGAGAAAUAGUAAAAUAAAAUUUUAUCCUGAGUCCACAUAUCUUAUGGAAGAAAAAAAUAAAUGGAAAUAAAACCACCACUAAGAGUAAUGUACAUUUUAGGGUCUCACACAUCCUAAUCUAUUCCAAAUGGAGAACGAUUAGGAAAAUAAAUGUAAUUUUAACACCUCUGUGUGAACAUGGAAGAUAAAAUGAACUGACAAGAACUAUAGAAGGUAAACAAAGGACAUUUCAAACAGAUUAAAUUACAAGAAUGCAAAUAGAAAAGAGAUUUCUAAUGUCUGUCUUUUCUACAAAAAAGAAUGAUAUAAUCCGCUGCUACCAAUAGAUUAACAACUUAAAGAAUACUAAUGUAGUUGUGUGAAAAUAUAACCAAAUGUGUACAACACAAUUAUUUAUAUAUUUUGCAUAACCCUUGUACAUGAAUGUGUAAAUAAUUUGUAAUGGUUUUCCAACGGGGUAAUGAAUAAAGAACACAUAUUCCCUGUCA
Molecule: long non-coding RNA, 883 nt
Organism: Gavialis gangeticus (Gharial)
Lineage: Eukaryota; Metazoa; Chordata; Crocodylia; Gavialidae
Exons: 2
Source: RefSeq, a predicted model, not a curated record